UUCUUACUCUCUCUCUCUCUCUCUCUCUCUCUCUCUCUCUCUCCAAUUACAAAAGUCAAACCCUUUUUCUCUCCAUUUCCUCUCAAAAUUCCGUGCUCCCUAUCUCUCUAAGGAAAGUAAAAGACUCCAUGGAAGCUCCUAGGCUUAUCUUGAAGAGACAAGUCACAAAAGAGAAUCUAGGAGUGUUACAUGCAAGAUCCAAGAGCUUCUAUGGCAUAUUUGGAGCUUUGACGUUAACAGGAGGUAUUGGGGAGAGGUUAGAAUUUGGAAAGCAUUUGGGAAGUUUAGAGUCAAACCCUAGAAGCCAAACUUAAAGGUUGAAUACAAAGGUAAGCAAAAAUGCAAGACGGAUCAUUGAGCGCUAGAGUAUGUCAUGCGAAAUGUACAUGUUUCCCGAUUGUGGAGGUCGCUACACUUUUGUCAAGUUUUAAGUUGUAUAAAAACUUUAUGUCGUUUAUGUUUAUGUUGUUUUAAAGUUUCAAAUACUGUAAUUUUAUUUUAAGUAUGUGCAUGCUUCUAAACUAAAUAAGUAUUUAAAAGUUUUUUUAUACGGGUUUUUUGGUUUUUUAAUUAAACGAAAGUAAGAUGUUUUCCACAAA
Long non-coding RNA from Humulus lupulus (European hop), 599 nucleotides. RefSeq lists it as uncharacterized. The record is from RefSeq and is a predicted model, not a curated record. Lineage: Eukaryota; Viridiplantae; Streptophyta; Magnoliopsida; Rosales; Cannabaceae. The transcript has 4 exons.